RNAcentral lists this ribosomal RNA (602 nucleotides) under uncultured bacterium. Its description in RNAcentral is "bacterial SSU rRNA". It matches the Rfam family "Bacterial small subunit ribosomal RNA", at positions 8 to 556 of the family's 1533-position model. The record is from RNAcentral.
AGAGUUUGAUCAUGGCUCAGGAUGAACGCUGGCGGCAUGCCUAAGACAUGCAAGUCGUACGAAGGGGCCCAAUGAAAGGAAUUGAAAUUCAGAGUGCUUGCACAAAGAAUGGAUUUUCUUGGAUUUGGAUUUUCCCCUUAGUGGCAAACGGGUGAGUAACACGUGGGUUACCUACCUCUAAGAUGGGGAUAACAGUUGGAAACGACUGAUAAUACCGAAUGUGCUCUACGGAGUAAAGAAGCCCUUAAAGCUUCGCUUAGAGAUGGGCCUGCGGCGUAUUAGCUAGUUGGUGGGGUAAUGGCCUACCAAGGCGACGAUGCGUAGCCGAACUGAGAGGCUGAUCGGCCACACUGGGACUGAGACACGGCCCAGACUCCUACGGGAGACAGCAGUUAGGAAUAUUCGUCAAUGGAGGAAACUCUGAACGAGCAAUGCCGCGUGAACGAUGACGGCCCUAUGGGUUGUAAAGUUCUGUUGUUUGGAAAGAACGAUAGAUAGAGGAAAUGCUAUCUAUGUGACGGUACCAUUCAAGAAAGCCACGGCUAACUACGUGCCAGCAGCCGCGGUAAUACGUAGGUGGCGAGCGUUAUCCGGAUUUAUUG